This 467-nucleotide ribosomal RNA is filed under the name Streptococcus mutans. RNAcentral describes it as "bacterial SSU rRNA". It matches the Rfam family "Bacterial small subunit ribosomal RNA", at positions 28 to 472 of the family's 1533-position model. Lineage: Bacteria; Bacillati; Bacillota; Bacilli; Lactobacillales; Streptococcaceae. The record is from RNAcentral.
GACGAACGCUGGCGGCGUGCCUAAUACAUGCAAGUGGGACGCAAGGGAACACACUGUGCUUGCACACCGUGUUUUCUUGAGUCGCGAACGGGUGAGUGACGCGUAGGUAACCUGCCUAUUAGCGGGGGAUAACUAUUGGAAACGAUAGCUAAUACCGCAUAAUAUUAAUUAUUGCAUGAUAAUUGAUUGAAAGAUGCAAGCGCAUCACUAGUAGAUGGACCUGCGUUGUAUUAGCUAGUUGGUAAGGUAAGAGCUUACCAAGGCGACGAUACAUAGCCGACCUGAGAGGGUGAUCGGCCACACUGGGACUGAGACACGGCCCAGACUCCUACGGGAGGCAGCAGUAGGGAAUCUUCGGCAAUGGACGAAAGUCUGACCGAGCAACGCCGCGUGAGUGAAGAAGGUUUUCGGAUCGUAAAGCUCUGUUGUAAGUCAAGAACGUGUGUGAGAGGGAAAGUUCACACAGG